RNAcentral lists this long non-coding RNA (252 nucleotides) under Brassica rapa (field mustard). RNAcentral describes it as "long non-coding RNA (BRAP_LNC008079)". The record is from RNAcentral. Lineage: Eukaryota; Viridiplantae; Streptophyta; Magnoliopsida; Brassicales; Brassicaceae.
UUACCGCACUGUUUGUUAUUCUAAGAACCAACGAUUGAGCCAGAAUCUGAAACGGACGUACCAAUUCUUUUCCAGUCCAUCGCAACUCAAUUUUGUGCUGUACGUACUGCCCGUACGACCAGUUUGAGGCUUCAUCAAUACCCAUGUCCAGACGAUCGAAUUCACCAAACUGGAGAUCAUAUUUCCCGUACUGAUUAGCAUUUUAAGAGCAACGGUCAAGACAGAUUUGGAUUCGGACGAGUGGAACUCAAG